RNAcentral lists this ribosomal RNA (452 nucleotides) under uncultured bacterium. RNAcentral's name for it is "bacterial SSU rRNA". It matches the Rfam family "Bacterial small subunit ribosomal RNA", at positions 43 to 507 of the family's 1533-position model. The record is from RNAcentral.
CGUGCCUAACACAUGCAAGUCAAACGAGGUCCAUGAGAGCUUGCUCUCAGAAGACCUAGUGGCGAACGGGUGAGUAACACGUGAGAAACCUGCCUCGGAGUGGGGAAUAACUCGGGGAAACUCGAGCUAAUACCGCAUAUCUUCACAUGAUCGCAUGGUCGAGUGAAGAAAGAAUUUCGCUCUGAGAGGGUCUCGCGGCCUAUCAGCUUGUUGGUGGGGUAACGGCCCACCAAGGCAACGACGGGUAGCUGGUUUGAGAGAACGAUCAGCCACACUGGGACUGAGACACGGCCCAGACUCCUACGGGAGGCAGCAGUGGGGAAUCUUGCGCAAUGGGCGAAAGCCUGACGCAGCAACGCCGCGUGCGGGAUGACGGCCUUCGUGGUUGUAAACCGCUUUCAGCAGGGACGAAAAUGACGGUACCUGCAGAAGAAGCCCCGGCUAACUACGUG